AUUGAACGCUGGCGGCAGGCUUAACACAUGCAAGUCGAACGAUGACUAACUAGCUUGCUAGUUAUGAUUAGUGGCGGACGGGUGAGUAACAUUUAGGAAUCUGCCUAGUAGUGGGGGAUAGCUCGGGGAAACUCGAAUUAAUACCGCAUACGACCUACGGGUGAAAGGGGGCGCAAGCUCUUGCUAUUAGAUGAGCCUAAAUCAGAUUAGCUAGUUGGUGGGGUAAAGGCCCACCAAGGCGACGAUCUGUAACUGGUCUGAGAGGAUGAUCAGUCACACCGGAACUGAGACACGGUCCGGACUCCUACGGGAGGCAGCAGUGGGGAAUAUUGGACAAUGGGGGCAACCCUGAUCCAGCCAUGCCGCGUGUGUGAAGAAGGCCUUUUGGUUGUAAAGCACUUUAAGCAGGGAGGAGAGGCUAAUGGUUAAUACCCAUUAGAUUAGACGUUACCUGCAGAAUAAGCACCGGCUAACUCUGUGCCAGCAGCCGCGGUAAUACAGAGGGUGCGAGCGUUAAUCGGAAUUACUGGGCGUAAAGCGAGUGUAGGUGGCUCAUUAAGUCACAUGUGAAAUCCCCGGGCUUAACCUGGGAACUGCAUGUGAUACUGGUGGUGCUAGAAUAUGUGAGAGGGAAGUAGAAUUCCAGGUGUAGCGGUGAAAUGCGUAGAGAUCUGGAGGAAUACCGAUGGCGAAGGCAGCUUCCUGGCAUAAUAUUGACACUGAGAUUCGAAAGCGUGGGUAGCAAACAGGAUUAGAUACCCUGGUAGUCCACGCCGUAAACGAUGUCUACUAGCCGUUGGGGUCCUUGAGACUUUAGUGGCGCAGUUAACGCGAUAAGUAGACCGCCUGGGGAGUACGGCCGCAAGGUUAAAACUCAAAUGAAUUGACGGGGGCCCGCACAAGCGGUGGAGCAUGUGGUUUAAUUCGAUGCAACGCGAAGAACCUUACCUGGUCUUGACAUAGUGAGAAUCCUGCAGAGAUGCGGGAGUGCCUUCGGGAAUUCACAUACAGGUGCUGCAUGGCUGUCGUCAGCUCGUGUCGUGAGAUGUUGGGUUAAGUCCCGCAACGAGCGCAACCCUUUUCCUUAUUUGCCAGCGGGUUAAGCCGGGAACUUUAAGGAUACUGCCAGUGACAAACUGGAGGAAGGCGGGGACGACGUCAAGUCAUCAUGGCCCUUACGACCAGGGCUACACACGUGCUACAAUGGUAGGUACAGAGGGUUGCUACACAGCGAUGUGAUGCUAAUCUCAAAAAGCCUAUCGUAGCCCGGAUUGGAGUCUGCAACUCGACUCCAUGAAGUCGGAAUCGCUAGUAAUCGCAGAUCAGAAUGCUGCGGUGAAUACGUUCCCGGGCCU
RNAcentral lists this ribosomal RNA (1355 nucleotides) under uncultured bacterium. RNAcentral describes it as "bacterial SSU rRNA". It matches the Rfam family "Bacterial small subunit ribosomal RNA", at positions 28 to 1381 of the family's 1533-position model. The record is from RNAcentral.